UACGGGGGGAGCAAGCGUUGUUCGGAUUUACUGGGAGUAAAGGGCGCGUAGGCGGCCACGACAAGUCACUUGUGAAAUCUCCGGGCUUAACUCGGAACGGUCAGCUGAUACUGCUUUGCUAGAGUGCAGAAGGGGCAAUCGGAAUUCUUGGUGUAGCGGUGAAAUGCGUAGAUAUCAAGAGGAACACCUGAGGUGAAGACGGGUUGCUGGGCUGACACUGACGCUGAGGCGCGAAAGCUAGGGUAGCAAACGGG
Molecule: ribosomal RNA, 254 nt
Filed under: uncultured bacterium
Lineage: Bacteria
Description: partial 16S ribosomal RNA
Rfam family: Bacterial small subunit ribosomal RNA
Source: RNAcentral